UGAAGAGUUUGAUCCUGGCUCAGGAUGAACGCUAGCGGCAGGCCUAACACAUGCAAGUCGAACGGUAACAGAGAAAAGCUUGCUUUUUUGCUGACGAGUGGCGCACGGGUGCGUAACGCGUAUACAAUCUACCUUUUACAGGGGGAUAGCCUUUAGAAAUGAAGAAUAAUACCCCAUAGUAAGUAUUUUUCGCAUGGAAAAUACUUUAAAGAUUUAUCGGUAAAAGAUGAGUAUGCGUUCUAUUAGCUAGAUGGUAAGGUAACGGCUUACCAUGGCAACGAUAGAUAGGGGCCCUGAGAGGGGGAUCCCCCACACUGGUACUGAGACACGGACCAGACUCCUACGGGAGGCAGCAGUGAGGAAUAUUGGACAAUGGAGGCAACUCUGAUCCAGCCAUGCCGCGUGCAGGAAGACUGCCCUAUGGGUUGUAAACUGCUUUUGUACAGGAAGAAACCUUUCCACGUGUGGAGAGCUGACGGUACUGUAAGAAUAAGGAUCGGCUAACUCCGUGCCAGCAGCCGCGGUAAUACGGAGGAUGCAAGCGUUAUCCGGAAUCAUUGGGUUUAAAGGGUCCGUAGGUGGAUUGGUCAGUCAGAGGUGAAAUCCUGCAGCUCAACUGUAGAACUGCCUUUGAUACUGCCGGUCUUGAAUUAUUGUGAAGUGGUUAGAAUAUGUAGUGUAGCGGUGAAAUGCAUAGAUAUUACAUAGAAUACCAAUUGCGAAGGCAGAUCACUAACAAUAUAUUGACACUGAUGGACGAAAGCGUGGGGAGCGAACGGGAUUAGAUACCCCGGUAGUCCACGCCGUAAACGAUGUCUACUAGCUGUAGGGGUACUUGAGACCUUUGUAGCGCAGCUAACGCAAUAAGUAGACCGCCUGGGGAGUACGGCCGCAAGGUUAAA
Molecule: ribosomal RNA, 902 nt
Filed under: Ctenophora environmental sample
Lineage: Eukaryota; Metazoa; Ctenophora
Description: partial Bacterial small subunit ribosomal RNA
Rfam family: Bacterial small subunit ribosomal RNA
Source: RNAcentral